This 74-nucleotide transfer RNA is filed under the name Alcanivorax sp. DSM 26295. RNAcentral's name for it is "tRNA_Arg_CCT". It matches the Rfam family "tRNA". From Rfam's summary of the family: Transfer RNA (tRNA) molecules are approximately 80 nucleotides in length. The record is from RNAcentral. Lineage: Bacteria; Pseudomonadati; Pseudomonadota; Gammaproteobacteria; Oceanospirillales; Alcanivoracaceae.
GCUCCGGUAGCUCAGUUGGAUAGAGCAAGCGCCUCCUAAGCGCUAGGUCGCAGGUUCGACUCCUGCUCGGGGCG